AUGAGUAUACUGGCUUUGUGUCCAGGAUGUGUGGUCUUCCUAUUUAAAGAUUAUGGUGCUUCAAGGACUCCAGAACAGAAUGCAACUUCGCAGUACCCGAGAUUAAAGAAAAAAAUGGGAAAAUGUGCCUCACAGAGAACUGAAACACUGUAAAUCAUCUAAUCUUAGAAUUCUUAAAAUUGGAAAUCCGAAACUUACGAAGGAUUUGUAGCUGUGCUCGGGAAAUAGCUUAAAAAUAUGUAUUUACAGCUGUAUUACUCAUGAAAGAUGUGUACAGCAAAUAACCUGCUAUCAUUGCAGCUUUGUCAUUUGAGCAUUGUAAUAAAUAAAUUUCAAGUUCAACCAAACUAAAGAAUAAUACAAUGAAUUUUUUAAAAUAGCCAUGCCACAGCCCAAGAAGUGUAUUUUAAAUAUCACAACCAAUGCUCUGUUUUCAAUGGUGUGUUUCAUUCAUCUAUCUAUUCGUUCAUGUGGUCAGUCAGUCAGUCAUCAUGUAGUAUGUUGAGCCUCUCCUAUAUGAGAAGAUCUAUGCUGGUCAGAGACAAUACAAUAGUGGGGAGGUUGGGCAUGGUUUCUGUCUGCAUGAAGUUUACAUUCUGGUGAGGGAGCAAACAAUCAGCAUACCAUUUAGAAAAUCAAACAGAAAAAAAAACUUGUCAUAGUAAUUCAUCUAGGAGCUAAUGCUUUGAGAAAGCAUCUCAGAGCUAAUGCUUUGAGAAAGAGACUAAAAGAAGAAAACCUAUUUUUGGCAGCAUGAUCAGAGACGGCCUCUCUGAGAGACCUGAGGGACAUGUAAGGUGAAACUGAAAGUGGAGGAGGAGUAGGGAAUCACUCCAAAGGGAGAAAAGUAUACAUAGGAAUGAGGAGCGAGCAGGUUGAAACAUCUCUCCAAAUAUAUUUGGUUGGGAAAGGGUGCAGCAACCAUGGCAGUUGCUGGAGAUGAAGAUGUAGUCAACAAAGGUUUGACCC
This 969-nucleotide long non-coding RNA is filed under the name Papio anubis (olive baboon). RNAcentral describes it as "lncRNA (ENSPANG00000041468.1)". Lineage: Eukaryota; Metazoa; Chordata; Mammalia; Primates; Cercopithecidae. The record is from RNAcentral.